RNAcentral lists this ribosomal RNA (475 nucleotides) under Penicillium herquei. RNAcentral's name for it is "partial large subunit ribosomal RNA". It matches the Rfam family "Eukaryotic large subunit ribosomal RNA", at positions 76 to 555 of the family's 3401-position model. The record is from RNAcentral. Lineage: Eukaryota; Fungi; Ascomycota; Eurotiomycetes; Eurotiales; Aspergillaceae.
UGCCCCAGUAACGGCGAGUGAAGCGGCAAGAGCUCAAAUUUGAAAGCUGGCUCCUUCGGGGUCCGCAUUGUAAUUUGCAGAGGAUGCUUCGGGAGCGGCCCCCAUCUAAGUGCCCUGGAACGGGCCGUCAUAGAGGGUGAGAAUCCCGUAUGGGAUGGGGUGCCCGCGCCCGUGUGAAGCUCCUUCGACGAGUCGAGUUGUUUGGGAAUGCAGCUCUAAAUGGGUGGUAAAUUUCAUCUAAAGCUAAAUAUUGGCCGGAGACCGAUAGCGCACAAGUAGAGUGAUCGAAAGAUGAAAAGCACUUUGAAAAGAGAGUUAAAAAGCACGUGAAAUUGUUGAAAGGGAAGCGUUUGCGACCAGACUCGCCUACGGGGUUCAGCCGGCUUUCGGGCCGGUGUACUUCCCCGUGGGCGGGCCAGCGUCGGUUUGGGCGGCCGGUCAAAGGCCCUCGGAAUGUAACGCCUCUCGGGGCGUC